RNAcentral lists this ribosomal RNA (236 nucleotides) under uncultured bacterium. RNAcentral's name for it is "partial 16S ribosomal RNA". It matches the Rfam family "Bacterial small subunit ribosomal RNA", at positions 333 to 561 of the family's 1533-position model. The record is from RNAcentral.
ACUCCCCUCCUUGUCUCAUCAUUAGGUAAUUUUCGUCAAUGGGCGCAAGCCUGAACGAGCGAUGCCGCGUGAGUGAAGAAGGCCUUCGGGUCGUAAAGCUCUGUUGCGGGGGAAAAAAGGCAGCAUCAGGAAAUGGGUGCUGACUGAUGGUGCCCCGCCAGAAAGUCACGGCUAACUACGUGCCAGCAGCCGCGGUAAUACGUAGGUGGCGAGCGUUAUCCGGAAUGAUUGGGCGU